CACUUGGAGAGUCCUGGAAUGGAAUGGAUACCGUUUUAGCAUUUUUUGACCAUUACAAUAUUGAUCGAGGACAUUUCUUGAAAUCCAUUCGGACGGGGAAUUCAAUAAUCUUGUGAGUCCUUGGUGAUUUGUGCCCUUUCACACUCAACGGAUCCUUAAGCAAUUUCAAUGGGACAUACAUACACACCUUACAGUACCAAAGCGGACCAAACACGAGGAGACCAAAGAAAUGUUAUUUCUCUCAACCCCUACGCAAUGGGUCCACUACAAAGAGGUUGAAUAUUUGGUGUCCCUUG
This is a long non-coding RNA of Photinus pyralis (common eastern firefly), 296 nucleotides long. RefSeq lists it as uncharacterized. The record is from RefSeq and is a predicted model, not a curated record. The transcript is spliced from 3 exons. Lineage: Eukaryota; Metazoa; Arthropoda; Insecta; Coleoptera; Lampyridae.